Molecule: long non-coding RNA, 750 nt
Organism: Myiozetetes cayanensis
Lineage: Eukaryota; Metazoa; Chordata; Aves; Passeriformes; Tyrannidae
Exons: 6
Source: RefSeq, a predicted model, not a curated record
CUGUUUUAACAACAGCAUCCAGCAUGAUUCAGGUUUAUUCUCCUAUCAAUUGUACAUGUUGUGCAUUCAAAACAGCCAACUCUGAUGUCUGGAGGGCUGUACAGUGCUCCUGAAGCAGCAGUGACUACAAGUGACUCAUUGCAACUUCCCUGAAUUGCUCUGGAGGAGCAGCCUGCUUAUCUGUGAUGCUUGUCCUGCUUCUGUUGCUGUUGGAGGAAAUGUUCAGAAACAGCUGGAGCUGCUGGGUGAGAAGAAAACCAUAUCAGCAACUGAUUUGAACGGAAAUAACAGACAGUUGUUGAUGGGAGGUCAAGGCUGUGGGAUUCCAUACAAAGAUGAGAUUUAUUAGAGACUUGAAUGCUCAGUUGUGUGCAUUAUUUCCACUGGAUUGGGAGCAGAUUCAAAACUGGAGAACUGGACAUUCACAUGGUCCAAGAACUGAAAGGUGUCUCUUAUUCGAAGGCUGAGUUCCCCACCAGUGGAUUUGCUGGGACUGAUGAGGACAUGCAGCAACCUUGGGAGCUGGGAUGAGGGACCAGCCACUGAUGCUGGCAGCAGCUCCUGGUCAAGGGAAGGCUCCUGGCAUGGUGGUUUCCCCCUGGAAGAGAUGAACAACGAACAGAAGAGGCUACUGGUGCAAGUGCUUCAGAGACAGGGAUUUCGUCCUGCAAAAGGGUUACUGACAGCCACGGCUGAAAACAGCAGGGCAGUGUUCAGGCUGCACAAGCAGGGCCAGCUCUGGGCUUUGAG